AUUGAACGCUGGCGGCAUGCCUUACACAUGCAAGUCGAACGGCAGCACGGGAGCAAUCCUGGUGGCGAGUGGCGAACGGGUGAGUAAUAUAUCGGAACGUGCCCAGUCGUGGGGGAUAACGCAGCGAAAGCUGUGCUAAUACCGCAUACGAUCUAAGGAUGAAAGCGGGGGAGUCGCAAGACCUCGCGCGAUUGGAGCGGCCGAUAUCAGAUUAGGUAGUUGGUGGGGUAAAAGCCCACCAAGCCGACGAUCUGUAGCUGGUCUGAGAGGACGACCAGCCACACUGGAACUGAGACACGGUCCAGACUCCUACGGGAGGCAGCAGUGGGGAAUUUUAGGUACAAUGGGCGGCAAGCCUGAUCCAGCAAUGCCGCGUGCAGGAUGAAGGCC
This 390-nucleotide ribosomal RNA is filed under the name uncultured bacterium. Its description in RNAcentral is "bacterial SSU rRNA". It matches the Rfam family "Bacterial small subunit ribosomal RNA", at positions 29 to 416 of the family's 1533-position model. The record is from RNAcentral.